Molecule: unclassified non-coding RNA, 344 nt
Filed under: soil metagenome
Description: partial contains 5.8S ribosomal RNA, internal transcribed spacer 2, and large subunit ribosomal RNA
Rfam family: 5.8S ribosomal RNA (bases 1-120)
Source: RNAcentral
GAUGAAGAACGCAGCGAAAUGCGAUAAGUAAUGUGAAUUGCAGAAUUCAGUGAAUCAUCGAGUCUUUGAACGCACAUUGCGCCCCCUGGUAUUCCGGGGGGCAUGCCUGUCCGAGCGUCAUUGCUGCCCUCAAGCACGGCUUGUGUGUUGGGCCCCGUCCCCUCCCCCGGGGACGGGCCCGAAAGGCAGCGGCGGCACCGCGUCCGAUCCUCGAGCGUAUGGGGCUUUGUCACCCGCUCUGUAGGCCCGGCCGGCGCCAGCCGACACCCAACUUUUAUUUCUAAGGUUGACCUCGGAUCAGGUAGGGAUACCCGCUGAACUUAAGCAUAUCAACAAGCGGAGGA